Pezoporus flaviventris is the source of this 1109-nucleotide long non-coding RNA. RefSeq lists it as uncharacterized. The transcript is spliced from 2 exons. NCBI's taxonomy places the organism in Eukaryota, Metazoa, Chordata, Aves, Psittaciformes, Psittacidae. The record is from RefSeq and is a predicted model, not a curated record.
UUUUCCAUUUUUUUGGUGGUUGCUUUCCAAGAAUUAAGACCACAGUCAGUUAAGACAUUAGAAAAUACAUUGCUGUGUUCAGCUUGCUUGCUGUAAUACAAACACCUGCCAGAGAAUAAACCAGUGAAAUUCUUGAAUGCCAGCCAGGCUUUUCAUGUCAAGCAGUUUAGAGGGCCAAGCACAUCCCUUUCCUAAAAAAAAUAAGUAAGGGUUCCUUAAAGAUCUUCAGAUACCUUAAAACAGGUUCCAGUUGUAGAAGAUAGUUCUUGACCUAAUCAAGUCUCCAGGAUAUUCCUAUGUGUGUACAUAAAUCAUGUUUCUGCGCAGAUGUUUUAAUGUCUAGUUUUGAUGUUGGUUUUAUCUCUUUUUGGAUGCUGUUUUGAUUCCAUGGAGAUAAAAAUGAUUAAAUAAACCAAAAGAUUAAAAAUUCAGAAGAGUGAAUUUGUAAUCUGUAAACAAAGUAUGUAAAACUGAAAUUGAGUAUUACCAGUCUCUCUCUCUAGUGAAACCUUCAUCUCAAAAUCCAGAUUUACAUUCAGAUUCUUUUAAAACUGUCUUACUUAUGUUAAGGGGGUCUUUAUCCCAGUAAGGGGUUUAUGCCCUUUGGCCAUAAGGAGGAAGAUUUCACCCCUUCACAUGUAAGUUUGACGAGUUUGUUAUUUCCCAGAACAGAUGAGAGCCUUGGGCCUGAUCUCUCCAGGUGCCCCACCAGACAGCACACUGUACCAGAGCCUGAAUUCAACAAUCCCGUUCAAGUACAUAGCAGCUGAUUCACCCACCAAGUUUAAAAAAAAAUUGAAGUUCUGUUUUUCCACAUUCCGUCUACAAGGCCAAAGCCUAUUGUGCUUUUUGAGUCUAUGGGAUGCAAGACAGUAUGUCAUUUUUGACAGGAUUAAUACAGCCUCUUCAAUUAUAAAUGAGGAAAUUAUGUAUUUCAUAAUGUGGUCAAAUCUGUUCAAGAGUCUUACACUGUAAAAAUACAUUAUCACUCUUUGCUCAGCAUCCCCACAGUUCUUCAGUUUCCCUACAUUCUCUAGCACUCAUUAAUGUUGUCUAUAAAAAACUAAAACAAACCACCAGCAUUUGUUGCAAUAAAGUAUUUUCAUUAA